Molecule: ribosomal RNA, 253 nt
Filed under: uncultured bacterium
Lineage: Bacteria
Description: partial 16S ribosomal RNA
Rfam family: Bacterial small subunit ribosomal RNA
Source: RNAcentral
UACGUAGGGCGCAAGCGUUGUCCGGAAUUAUUGGGCGUAAAGAGCGUGUAGGCGGCCCGAUAAGUCCGCUGUGAAAGUCCAGGGCUCAACCCUGGGAUGCCGGUGGAUACUGUCGGGCUCGAGUCCGGAAGAGGAGUGUGGAAUUCCUGGUGUAGCGGUGAAAUGCGCAGAUAUCAGGAGGAAUACCAAUGGCGAAGGCAGCACUCUGGGACGUGACUGACGCUGAGACGCGAAAGCGUGGGGAGCAAACAGG